AUAAACAACGUGCCCCAAAGAUCGGGAUAGCCCGGGGAAACCCGGAGUAAUACCGGAUGUGGCCGUCGAAGGGCAUCCUUUGACGAUUAAAUGGUUUUUCGCUUUGGGAGCGGUUUAUGGCCUAUCAGGUAGUUGGUGGGGUAACGGCCUACCAAGCCGACGACGGGUAGCGGGUCUGAGAGGAUGACCCGCUCGAGUGGGACUGAGACACGGCC
RNAcentral lists this ribosomal RNA (215 nucleotides) under uncultured bacterium. RNAcentral's name for it is "partial 16S ribosomal RNA". It matches the Rfam family "Bacterial small subunit ribosomal RNA", at positions 117 to 331 of the family's 1533-position model. The record is from RNAcentral.